RNAcentral lists this non-coding RNA (432 nucleotides) under Populus trichocarpa (black cottonwood). Its description in RNAcentral is "Eukaryotic large subunit ribosomal RNA". It matches the Rfam family "Eukaryotic large subunit ribosomal RNA", at positions 1456 to 1888 of the family's 3401-position model. The record is from Rfam by way of RNAcentral. Lineage: Eukaryota; Viridiplantae; Streptophyta; Magnoliopsida; Malpighiales; Salicaceae.
GGUGGUAGCAAAUAUUCAACUAAGAACUUUGAUGAUCGAAAAGGGGAAAGAUUCCAUGUGAAUGGCACUUGUACAUAAAUUACUCAUUCCUAAGAGACGAGGGGAAGCAUGUCCAACAGUGUGUUCGUGCGCGAGAUUUGAAAAGGAAUCUGGUUAAAAUUCCUGAAUCAGGACGUGGCAGGUGACAACAACAUUAUGCAGUCUAGAGAUGUCAACAGGGCCCUUAAGAAGAGUUAUCUUUUAUGUUUAACAGUUCAUUCACCCUGGAAACAACUUAGUUGGAGGUAGGGUCCAACAACUAAAAAAGCAUUACACGUCGCGUGGUGUUUGGUGCGCCCCUUGUAGCCCUUGAAAAUCUCGAGAACCGAGUGUCUUCUACGCCCGAUCAUACUCAUAACUGCAUUAGGUCUCAAAGAUGAACAACUUCUGGUC